GAUUAGAGUUUGAUCCUGGCUCAGAACGAACGCUGGCGGCGUGCCUAACACAUGCAAGUCGAGCGCGAAAGUUCCUUCGGGAAUGAGUAGAGCGGCGGACGGGUGAGUAAUACGUGGGUAAUCUGCCCCCGAGCUCGGGAUAACAGUGCGAAAGCGCUGCUAAUACCGGAUAAGACCACAUGACACAUGUUGUGCGGUAAAAGGUGGCUUUAUUUUCGGAUGAGGCUAUCACUUGAGGAUGAGCCCAUGGCCUAUCAGCUUGUUGGUGAGGUAAAAGCUCACCAAGGCGAUGACGGGUAGCUGGUCUAAGAGGACGACCAGCCACACUGGGACUGAGACACGGCCCAGACUCCUACGGGAGGCAGCAGUGGGGAAUAUUGGGCAAUGGGCGAAAGCCUGACCCAGCGACGCCGUGUGGGCGAUGAAGGCCUUCGGGUUGUAAAGCCCUGUGAGGUGGAAAGAAGGGCCUAGAGGUUAAUACCCUUUAGGCUUUGACGGUACCACCAGAGAAGCACG
RNAcentral lists this ribosomal RNA (516 nucleotides) under uncultured bacterium. RNAcentral describes it as "bacterial SSU rRNA". It matches the Rfam family "Bacterial small subunit ribosomal RNA", at positions 1 to 494 of the family's 1533-position model. The record is from RNAcentral.